RNAcentral lists this ribosomal RNA (380 nucleotides) under uncultured bacterium. RNAcentral's name for it is "bacterial SSU rRNA". It matches the Rfam family "Bacterial small subunit ribosomal RNA", at positions 28 to 400 of the family's 1533-position model. The record is from RNAcentral.
GACGAACGCUGGCGGCGUGCUUAAUACAUGCAAGUCGAGCGAGGCCCAUCCAGUGGCAACACUGGGGAAGGCCGAGCGGCGAACGGGUGAGUAACACGUGAGCAACCUGCCCCGAAGUCUGGAAUAACAUCGGGAAACCGGUGCUAAUACCGGAUUGCCCCACCUGACCGCAUGAUCGGGUGAGGAAAGAUUUAUCGCUUCGGGAGGGGCUCGCGGCCUAUCAGCUAGUUGGCGGGGUAACGGCCCACCAAGGCGUCGACGGGUAGCUGGUCUGAGAGGACGACCAGCCACACUGGGACUGAGACACGGCCCAGACUCCUACGGGAGGCAGCAGUGGGGAAUCUUGCGCAAUGGGCGAAAGCCUGACGCAGCAACGCCGC